This 65-nucleotide transfer RNA is filed under the name Hymenobacter cheonanensis. RNAcentral's name for it is "tRNA-Cys". It matches the Rfam family "tRNA". Rfam says of the family: Transfer RNA (tRNA) molecules are approximately 80 nucleotides in length. Their secondary structure includes four short double-helical elements and three loops (D, anti-codon, and T loops). Further hydrogen bonds mediate the characteristic L-shaped molecular structure. tRNAs have two regions of fundamental functional importance: the anti-codon, which is responsible for specific mRNA codon recognition, and the 3' end, to which the tRNAs corresponding amino acid is attached (by aminoacyl-tRNA synthetases). tRNAs cope with the degeneracy of the genetic code in two manners: having more than one tRNA (with a specific anti-codon) for a particular amino acid; and 'wobble' base-pairing, i.e. permitting non-standard base-pairing at the 3rd anti-codon position. Lineage: Bacteria; Pseudomonadati; Bacteroidota; Cytophagia; Cytophagales; Hymenobacteraceae. The record is from RNAcentral.
GCCCUGGUCGCGGAUGGUAGCGCGCUGCACAGCAGAGGUCGGUGGUUCGAGUCCACCCCAGGGCA